This 450-nucleotide ribosomal RNA is filed under the name uncultured Methanolinea sp. Its description in RNAcentral is "bacterial SSU rRNA". It matches the Rfam family "Archaeal small subunit ribosomal RNA", at positions 889 to 1338 of the family's 1478-position model. Lineage: Archaea; Methanobacteriati; Methanobacteriota; Methanomicrobia; Methanomicrobiales; Methanoregulaceae. The record is from RNAcentral.
UGGAGCCUGCGGUUUAAUUGGACUCAACGCCGGGCAGCUCACCGGAUAAGACAGCUGGAUGAUAGCCGGGCUGAAGACUCUGCUUGACUAGCUGAGAGGAGGUGCAUGGCCGUCGUCAGUUCGUACUGUGAAGCAUCCUGUUAAGUCAGGCAACGAGCGAGACCCACGCCAACAGUUGCCAGCAUGUCCUCCGGGAUGAUGGGGACACUGUUGGGACCGCCUCUGCUAAAGAGGAGGAAGGAAUGGGCAACGGUAGGUCAGCAUGCCCCGAAUUAUCCGGGCUACACGCGGGCUACAAUGGUCAGGACAAUGGGUAUCGACACCGAAAGGUGAAGGCAAUCUCCUAAACCCAUCCUUAGUUCGGAUUGUGGGCUGCAACUCGCCCACAUGAAGCUGGAAUCUGUAGUAAUCGUGUUUCAAAAUAGCACGGUGAAUAUGUCCCUGCUCCUU